ACUGCUCAGUAACACGUGGACAACCUGCCCUUAGGUUGGGUAUAAACCCGGGAAACUGGGUAUAAUACCCGAUAGGUCUCGAUUGCUGGAAUGCAUCGAGAUUUAAAGCUCCGGCGCCUAAGGAUGGGUCUGCGGCCUAUCAGGUAGUAGUGGGUGUAGCGUACCUACUAGCCUACGACGGGUACGGGUUGUGAGAGCAAGAGCCCGGAGAUGGAUUCUGAGACACGAAUCCAGGCCCUACGGGGUGCAGCAGGCGCGAAAACUUUACAAUGCUGGCAACAGCGAUAAGGGAACCUCGAGUGCCAGGUUACAAAUCUGGCUGUCGAGAUGCCUAAAAAGCAUUUCAUAGCAAGGGCCGGGCAAGACCGGUGCCAGCCGCCGCGGUAACACCGGCGGCUCGAGUGGUAACCGUUAUUAUUGGGUCUAAAGGGUCUGUAGCCGGCCGGAUAAGUCUCUUGAGAAAUCUGGCAGCCUAACUGUCAGGCUUUCAGGAGAUACUGUCUGGCUCGAGGCCGGGAGAGGUGAGAGGUACUUCAGGGGUAGGGGUGAAAUCUUGUAAUCCUUGAAGGACCACCAGUGGCGAAGGCGUCUCACCAGAACGGACCUGACGGCAAGGGACGAAAGCUAGGGGCACGAACCGGAUUAGAUACCCGGGUAGUCCUAGCCGUAAACGAUACUCGCUAGGUGUCGGCCACGGUGCGACCGUUGUCGGUGCCGUAGGGAAGCCGUGAAGCGAGCCACCUGGGGAAGUACGGCCGCAAGGCUGAAACUUAAAGGAAUUGGCGGGGGAGCAC
RNAcentral lists this ribosomal RNA (794 nucleotides) under uncultured archaeon. Its description in RNAcentral is "bacterial SSU rRNA". It matches the Rfam family "Archaeal small subunit ribosomal RNA", at positions 85 to 879 of the family's 1478-position model. The record is from RNAcentral.